RNAcentral lists this ribosomal RNA (492 nucleotides) under uncultured bacterium. RNAcentral's name for it is "partial 16S ribosomal RNA". It matches the Rfam family "Bacterial small subunit ribosomal RNA", at positions 29 to 507 of the family's 1533-position model. The record is from RNAcentral.
AGUGAACGCUGGCGGUAGGCCUAACACAUGCAAGUCGAACGGCAGCACAGUAAGAGCUUGCUCUUACGGGUGGCGAGUGGCGGACGGGUGAGGAAUACAUCGGAAUCUACUUUUUCGUGGGGGAUAACGUAGGGAAACUUACGCUAAUACCGCAUACGACCUACGGGUGAAAGCAGGGGAUCUUCGGACCUUGCGCGAUUGAAUGAGCCGAUGUCGGAUUAGCUAGUUGGCGGGGUAAAGGCCCACCAAGGCGAGGAUCCGUAGCUGGUCUGAGAGGAUGAUCAGCCAACAUGGAACUGAGACACGGUCCAGACUCCUACGGGAGGCAGCAGUGGGGAAUAUUGGACAAUGGGCGCAAGCCUGAUCCAGCCAUACCGCGUGGGUGAAGAAGGCCUUCGGGUUGUAAAGCCCUUUUGUUGGGAAAGAAAAGCAGCAGGUUAAUACCCCGCUGUUCUGACGGUACCCAAAGAAUAAGCACCGGCUAACUUCGUG